GCCCCUGUGGCCUAAUGGAUAAGGCACUGGCCUCCUAAGCCAGGGAUUGUGGGUUCGAGUUCCACCGGGGGUA
This 73-nucleotide transfer RNA is filed under the name Petromyzon marinus (sea lamprey). RNAcentral's name for it is "tRNA-Arg (CCT) (tRNA-Arg-CCT-16-1)". It matches the Rfam family "tRNA". From Rfam's summary of the family: Transfer RNA (tRNA) molecules are approximately 80 nucleotides in length. Their secondary structure includes four short double-helical elements and three loops (D, anti-codon, and T loops). Lineage: Eukaryota; Metazoa; Chordata; Hyperoartia; Petromyzontiformes; Petromyzontidae. The record is from RNAcentral.